This 85-nucleotide Y RNA is filed under the name Microcebus murinus (gray mouse lemur). RNAcentral's name for it is "Y RNA (ENSMICG00000043446.1)". It matches the Rfam family "Y RNA". Rfam says of the family: Y RNAs are components of the Ro ribonucleoprotein particle (Ro RNP), in association with Ro60 and La proteins. The Y RNAs and Ro60 and La proteins are well conserved, but the function of the Ro RNP is not known. In humans the RNA component can be one of four small RNAs -- hY1, hY3, hY4 and hY5. Lineage: Eukaryota; Metazoa; Chordata; Mammalia; Primates; Cheirogaleidae. The record is from Rfam by way of RNAcentral.
GACUGGUCCGAUGGUAGAACUUAUUAACAUUAGUGUCACUAAAGUUGGUAUUCAACCCCCCGCUGCUAAAUUUGACUGGCUUUAA